UGUGAUAAUUGGCAUCAGGUAAUUGCAGGAAGAGAUCUGGGCUCAUCUUAUCCCAGGCUGGUGGGCAAGAGGAAGGGGAGUUUGAGAAUUUCCUGAGAUGUCUCAAUCUGAGUGUCAGAGUGGGUUAGUGCUCAGCGAGUUACAUACUGACACCAUCACUCCCUGCCACUGAUGCACACACUAAUCACUCCCUGAGGGAGUGGAGAGAUGAGGACAGCUGCUGAUAAAUGCUGCCUCAGCCUUGUCCUGAAAGCCUCUCACUGUCCACGAGCUGUCCACCCAGGCUGAAUUUACAAGUGGUGCGGGUUGUACUACUGGAGAUCUCUUCUGGUACUGCAGAGUGAAGAGAAUGGAUGCCACUGAGCUUCCCUAUGGGAUCCUCUUCUGUCCCAGAUUUUCUUUGGGGUCUCAGGGAAUUUGUUCCUCCUCCUGAUUUAUAAGCAUGUGGUCUCCACCACCCACCAGCUGAAUCCUCCAGACCUGAUCAUCUCCCAUCUGGCCCUGGCCAACACUAUGGCCCUUCUCAGCCAGGGGAUCCCUGACAUCCUAUCAGCUUGGGGGUGGCAUAAUUUCCUGGAUGAUGUUAGUUGUAAAAUUCUCUUACAGUUAACGAGUGGCCCGCGGUCUUGCCAUAUGCACCACCUGCCUCCUGAGUGUCUUCCAGGCAGUCACCAUCAGUCCUGGCACCUCCCAGUGGGAAGAAGUCAAAACCCAAUUCCCCAAGUUCAUCUUCCCCUCCUGCCUCUUCUCCUGAGUCCUCAAUCUGCUGUUUGACAAGACCGCACCAAUGUUCAUCACAAGCCUUGGGAUCAGCACCAACAUGAACAGUGUCAUCCUGAAAUACAGUUCCUCCAUCAGUAUCAGUACAGUCACAACCCUGGGCAAUGCUGUGGUGCUCUCCCUCCAUGAUAUUUUCUUUAUGGGAUUCAUGAGCGUGGCCAGUGGCUACAUGGUGUUUGUCCUGCACAGACAACACCAGCAGGUCCGACUUCUCCACAGUCCCGGAUGCUCCCGCAGAACAGAGCCCGAAGUCAGAGCAGUGAAGAGAAUAAUUGUCCUGGUCACCCUCUACGUCCUCCUCUAUGGAAGGAACACAAUCACCCUGAGUUUUUUAUUGAAUAUGAAGGAAAGUCCAACCCUGUCAAGCAGGAUUUGA
Molecule: long non-coding RNA, 1156 nt
Filed under: Ornithorhynchus anatinus (platypus)
Lineage: Eukaryota; Metazoa; Chordata; Mammalia; Monotremata; Ornithorhynchidae
Description: lncRNA (ENSOANG00000049930.1)
Source: RNAcentral